Molecule: ribosomal RNA, 478 nt
Filed under: uncultured bacterium
Lineage: Bacteria
Description: partial 16S ribosomal RNA
Rfam family: Bacterial small subunit ribosomal RNA
Source: RNAcentral
GACGAACGCUGGCGGCGUGCUUAACACAUGCAAGUCGAACGGUAAGGCCCUUCGGGGUACACGAGUGGCGAACGGGUGAGUAACACGUGGGUGAUCUGCCCUGCACUUCGGGAUGAGCCUGGGAAACUGGGUCUAAUACCGGAUAGGACCACUGCCUGCAUGGGUGGUGGGGGAAAGCUUUUGCGGUGUGGGAUGGGCCCGCGGCCUAUCAGCUUGUUGGUGGGGUGAUGGCCUACCAAGGCGACGAAGGGUAGCCGGCCUGAGAGGGUGACCGGCCACACUGGGACUGAGAUACGGCCCAGACUCCUACGGGAGGCAGCAGUGGGGAAUAUUGCGCAAUGGGCGCAAGCCUGAUGCAGCGACGCCGCGUGAGGGAUGACGGCCUUCGGGUUGUAAACCUCUUUCAGCACCGACGAAGCGCAAGUGACGGUAGGUGCAGAAGAAGGACCGGCCAACUACGUGCCAGCCGCCGCCGUAA